Molecule: long non-coding RNA, 334 nt
Filed under: Gallus gallus (chicken)
Lineage: Eukaryota; Metazoa; Chordata; Aves; Galliformes; Phasianidae
Source: RNAcentral
CAUCUUCACUGUUAUCUCCAAGACAAACGCAACAAAUCAAAAUAUGGUCCAUUUUCUGGGAACUCCAAUUUUGGGACUUCUCAAGGAUCAAGGAGUCCUGAAGCAUCUCCAACUUUAAAAUCACUGUCAUCAGAGCUAUCAUAAUCUAAAGCUUCCAGCAGGGAAGCCGCCAGAGGCUUCACUUGUCUCCUCUUCGAGCUGCGGUCCAUAAAGGCUGUGCAGGUAAGCGGCGGCGAGCGGGAAUGCGUCCAGGCGGCGGCAGCGCGGCGCCGCCUUAGCCCCUCGGGUGCGGACCGCUGAGCCUCGGACCCCCUCGCCAGACAAUGGGCACGGC